This 312-nucleotide unclassified non-coding RNA is filed under the name plant metagenome. Its description in RNAcentral is "partial contains 5.8S ribosomal RNA, internal transcribed spacer 2, and large subunit ribosomal RNA". The stretch from base 1 to 105 matches the Rfam family "5.8S ribosomal RNA", at positions 50 to 154 of the family's 154-position model. The record is from RNAcentral.
GAAAUGCGAUAAGUAAUGUGAAUUGCAGAAUUCAGUGAAUCAUCGAAUCUUUGAACGCACAUUGCGCCCUUUGGUAUUCCUUAGGGCAUGCCUGUUCGAGCGUCAUUUAAACCCUUCAAGCUCAGCUUGGUGUUGGGUGACUGUCCGCCUCCUCCGGGCGUGGACUCGCCCCAAAGUGAUUGGCAGCCGGCGUACUGGUCCCGGAGCGCAGCACAUGUCGCGCAAACGAGUGCCUUGGUACGGCGGCGUCCAUAAGCCCCUCUCUCACGCUCUUGACCUCGGAUCAGGUAGGGAUACCCGCUGAACUUAAGC